CCUCAGGUUUUUGGAGGAAGGUUCGUCCGCUCCAAGUUAGGCGGGAGCUAAGGUCAGGCCGAAAGGCGUAGCCGAUGCACAGACGGUAGAGAUUCCGUCCCCACCGAAAGAUUUAAGCACAGGGACACUUUUUGAAGGUCGGAGCCAGGUGUUGGUUCUGGUAGUGAUCGAGGGAAAUUUAGUACCGAAGUCUGGCUGGAUAAGAGGCGAGAAAAGCUGUGUGUAUAUCUAAGGUGCCCGUACCGCAAACCGACACAGGUAGGUAGGAAGAAGAUUCUAAGGCCAACGGGAGAAGGGUUGUUAAGGAACUCGGCAAGUUGACCCCGUAACUUCGGAAUAAGGGGUGCUCACGAGAGUGAGCCGCAGAGAAUAGGCCCAGGCAACUGUUUACCAAAAACACAGGUUUGUGCUAAAUCGAAAGAUGACGUAUACGAGCUGACGCCUGCCCGGUGCUGGAAGGUUAAAAGGAGAUGUGCAAGCAUUGAAUUGAAGCCCCAGUGAACGGCGGCCGUAACUAUAACGGUCCUAAGGUAGCGAAAUUCCUUGUCAGGUAAGUUCUGACCCGCAUGAAAGGCGUAAUGAUCUGGGCACUGUCUCAACAGCCCGCCCGGCGAAAUUGUAGUACCGGUGAAGAUGCCGGUUACCCGCGACAAGACGGAAAGACCCCAUGGAGCUUUACUGUAGCCUGAUAUUGGGUUUCGGUGUUGCAUGCACAGGAUAGAUGGGACGCUAGGAAAGAAGCGCUUUGGCGUUUCCGGAGCGGACGUUGGGAUACCAUCCUUGCGACAUUGGAAUUCUAACCUGCGCCUCUGAAUCGAGGCGGGGGACAUUGUCAGGUGGGCAGUUUGACUGGGGCGGUCGCCUCCUAAAAAGUAGCGGAGGCGUUCAAAGGUUCGUUCGAUCUGGACGGAAACCAGAUGAUUGAGUGCAAACGCAUAAACGAGCCUGACUGCGAGACUGACGGGUCGAGCAGAGACGAAAGUCGGAGUUAGUGAUCCGGUGGUAUGUGAGUGGAAAUGCCAUCGCUCAACGGAUAAAAGUUACCCUGGGGAUAACAGGCUGAUCUCCCCCAAGAGUCCACAUCGACGGGGAGGUUUGGCACCUCGAUGUCGGCUCAUCGCAUCCUGGGGCUGAAUUCGGUCCCAAGGGUUUGGCUGUUCGCCAAUUAAAGCGGUACGCGAGCUGGGUUCAGAACGUCGUGAGACAGUUCGGUCCCUAUCUGUCGUGGGCGCAGGAUAUUUGAAAGGCGCUGUCCCUAGUACGAGAGGACCGGGAUGGACGAACCUCUGGUGCACCAGUUGUCACGCCAGUGGCACAGCUGGGCAGCUAUGUUCGGAUCGGAUAAACGCUGAAAGCAUCUAAGCGUGAAGCCGGCCUUAAGAUAAGAUAUCCCACUGAGUCAAUCAGGUAAGACCCCUUGAAGACUACAAGGUUGAUAGGCACAAUGUGUAAGUGGCGUGAGUCAUUGAGCAAGCGUGUACUAAUAGGUCGAGGGCUUGACCC
This 1503-nucleotide ribosomal RNA is filed under the name human gut metagenome. RNAcentral's name for it is "bacterial LSU rRNA". It matches the Rfam family "Bacterial large subunit ribosomal RNA", at positions 1344 to 2925 of the family's 2925-position model. The record is from RNAcentral.